This 253-nucleotide ribosomal RNA is filed under the name uncultured bacterium. Its description in RNAcentral is "partial 16S ribosomal RNA". It matches the Rfam family "Bacterial small subunit ribosomal RNA", at positions 524 to 776 of the family's 1533-position model. The record is from RNAcentral.
UACGUAGGGUGCGAGCGUUAAUCGGAAUUACUGGGCGUAAAGCGUGCGCAGGCGGUUCUGCAAGUCAGAUGUGAAAUCCCCGGGCUUAACCUGGGAACUGCGUUUGAAACUACGGAGCUAGAGUGCGGCAGAGGGGGGUGGAAUUCCACGUGUAGCAGUGAAAUGCGUAGAGAUGUGGAGGAACACCGAUGGCGAAGGCAGCCCCCUGGGAUAACACUGACGCUCGGGCACGAAAGCGUGGGGAGCAAACAGG